RNAcentral lists this ribosomal RNA (510 nucleotides) under uncultured bacterium. RNAcentral describes it as "partial 16S ribosomal RNA". It matches the Rfam family "Bacterial small subunit ribosomal RNA", at positions 28 to 507 of the family's 1533-position model. The record is from RNAcentral.
GACGAACGCUGGCGGCGUGCUUAACACAUGCAAGUCGAACGAAGAGCGAUGGAAGCUUGCUUCUAUCAAUCUUAGUGGCGCACGGGUGAGUAACGCGUAAUCAACCUGCCCUUCAGAGGGGGACAACAGUUGGAAACGACUGCUAAUACCGCAUACGAUCUAAUCUCGGCAUCGAGGAUGGAUGAAAGGUGGCCUCUACAUGUAAGCUAUCACUGAAGGAGGGGAUUGCGUCUGAUUAGCUAGUUGGAGGGGUAACGGCCCACCAAGGCGAUGAUCAGUAGCCGGUCUGAGAGGAUGAACGGCCACAUUGGGACUGAGACACGGCCCAGACUCCUACGGGAGGCAGCAGUGGGGAAUCUUCCGCAAUGGACGAAAGUCUGACGGAGCAACGCCGCGUGAGUGAUGACGGCCUUCGGGUUGUAAAGCUCUGUUAAUCGGGACGAAAGGCCUUCUUGCGAAUAGUGAGAAGGAUUGACGGUACCGGAAUAGAAAGCCACGGCUAACUACGUG